This 510-nucleotide ribosomal RNA is filed under the name uncultured bacterium. RNAcentral describes it as "partial 16S ribosomal RNA". It matches the Rfam family "Bacterial small subunit ribosomal RNA", at positions 28 to 507 of the family's 1533-position model. The record is from RNAcentral.
GACGAACGCUGGCGGCGUGCUUAACACAUGCAAGUCGAACGAAGAGCGAUGGAAGCUUGCUUCUAUCAAUCUUAGUGGCGAACGGGUGAGUAACGCGUAAUCAACCUGCCCUUCAGAGGGGGACAACAGUUGGAAACGACUGCUAAUACCGCAUACGAUCUGACCUCGGCAUCGAGGAUAGAUGAAAGGUGGCCUCUAUUUAUAAGCUAUCACUGAAGGAGGGGAUUGCGUCUGAUUAGCUAGUGGGAGGGGUAACGGCCCACCAAGGCGAUGAUCAGUAGCCGGUCUGAGAGGAUGAACAGCAACAUGGGGACUGGGACGCGGCCCAGACUCCUACGGGAGGCAGCAGUGGGGAAUCUUCCGCAAUGGACGAAAGUCUGACGGAGCAACGCCGCGUGAGUGAUGACGGCCUUCGGGUUGUAAAGCUCUGUUGAUCGGGACGAAAGGCCUUCUUGCGAAUAGUUAGAAGGAUUGACGGUACCGGAAGAGAAAGCCACGGCUAACUACGUG